Molecule: ribosomal RNA, 253 nt
Filed under: uncultured bacterium
Lineage: Bacteria
Description: partial 16S ribosomal RNA
Rfam family: Bacterial small subunit ribosomal RNA
Source: RNAcentral
UACGAAGGGGGCGAGCGUUGUUCGGAAUUACUGGGCGUAAAGCGCACGUAGGCGGAUCGAUCAGUCAGGGGUGAAAUCCUGGAGCUCAACUCCAGAACUGCCUUUGAUACUGGCGAUCUUGAGUCCGGGAGAGGUGAGUGGAACUCCGAGUGUAGAGGUGAAAUUCGUAGAUAUCUGGAGGAACACCGGUGGCGAAGGCGGCAUCCUGGACCGGUAUUGACGCUGAUGCGCGAAAGCCAGGGGAGCAAACGGG